AUGAGAAUUCCUAAAAGCAAGGGCGGAUCCAACUUGGGACAUGGGGGAACGAACAAACAAACUGCUAUACAGGUUAAGGCUCUGAAAUUAAAAGAAGAGCUUCUUCCAGAUCUAGAAGAGAAGCUAGGGUUAACGAACGCAAGCAAAUUCCAGACAAAAGUACUCCCGGUGGGAGAGAGAGAUGAAUCAGGAGGAGGAUGUGGAUGCUCACCAGGAUCCCCUGCUCUGCUCUGCUCGCCGGAUGGAGAUCGGCGCCUCCUCCCCUGUUCAGCCGCGGCUCGUCAGGAGACCACGGGACGGGAGAUUUCUCGUUCUUUUGCGCCGAAGGGAAGGAGGGGAAGAUACUCGAGUAAACUGAGGUUUUUUCUUAGGGCUCACACGAUUUUUCGGCCAUUGGAUCAAAAUAAACGAAUGGACAGGAUUGAUACACUAAAAUGUACAUGCAAAUCAAACUUCUGCAUAUAAAUGGGCCAUC
This 475-nucleotide long non-coding RNA is filed under the name Oryza sativa Indica Group (long-grained rice). RNAcentral's name for it is "lncRNA OsZS97_09G005870". The record is from RNAcentral. Lineage: Eukaryota; Viridiplantae; Streptophyta; Magnoliopsida; Poales; Poaceae.